UCCUACGGGAGGCAGCAGUGGGGAAUCUUAGACAAUGGGGGCAACCCUGAUCUAGCCAUGCCGCGUGAGUGAUGAAGGCCUUAGGGUCGUAAAGCUCUUUCGCCAGGGAUGAUAAUGACAGUACCUGGUAAAGAAACCCCGGCUAACUCCGUGCCAGCAGCCGCGGUAAUACGGAGGGGGUUAGCGUUGUUCGGAAUUACUGGGCGUAAAGCGCACGUAGGCGGAUUGGAAAGUUGGGGGUGAAAUCCCAGGGCUCAACCCUGGAACUGCCUCCAAAACUAUCAGUCUAGAGUUCGAGAGAGGUGAGUGGAAUUCCGAGUGUAGAGGUGAAAUUCGUAGAUAUUCGGAGGAACACCAGUGGCGAAGGCGGCUCACUGGCUCGAUACUGACGCUGAGGUGCGAAAGUGUGGGGAGCAAACAGGAUUAGAUACCCUGGUAGUCCACACCGUAAACGAUGAAUGCCAGUCGUCGGGUAGUAUACUAUUCGGUGACACACCUAACGGAUUAAGCAUUCCGCCUGGGGAGUACGG
Molecule: ribosomal RNA, 530 nt
Filed under: uncultured Paracoccaceae bacterium
Lineage: Bacteria; Pseudomonadati; Pseudomonadota; Alphaproteobacteria; Rhodobacterales; Paracoccaceae
Description: bacterial SSU rRNA
Rfam family: Bacterial small subunit ribosomal RNA
Source: RNAcentral